Molecule: ribosomal RNA, 406 nt
Filed under: uncultured bacterium
Lineage: Bacteria
Description: partial 16S ribosomal RNA
Rfam family: Bacterial small subunit ribosomal RNA
Source: RNAcentral
AUUGAACGCUGUCGGCAGGCUUAACACAUGCAAGUCGAACGAGUGGCGGACGGGUGAGUAAUGCUUGGGAAUCUAGCUUAUGGAGGGGGAUAACUACGGGAAACUGUAGCUAAUACCGCGUACCAUAGGAUGAGCCCAAGUGGGAUUAGGUAGUUGGUGAGGUAAAGGCUCACCAAGCCGACGAUCUCUAGCUGGUCUGAGAGGAUGACCAGCCACACUGGGACUGAGACACGGCCCAGACUCCGACGGGAGGCAGCAGUGGGGAAUAGUGCACAAUGGGCGCAAGCCGGAUGCAGCCAUGCCGCGUGUGUGAAGAAGGCCUUCGGGUUGUAAAGCACUUUCAGCGAGGAGGCGUUACUCGCAGAAGAAGCACCGGCUAACUCCGUGCCAGCAGCCGCGGUAAUUC